Molecule: non-coding RNA, 147 nt
Organism: Melanopsichium pennsylvanicum
Lineage: Eukaryota; Fungi; Basidiomycota; Ustilaginomycetes; Ustilaginales
Source: the annotation of a GenBank genome assembly
GGCGCUUUGGCGGAGUGGUUAUCGCGUGGCACUAGAAGUAGGAACUAAGUGCCAAUUUGAUUUGUGACACACUUCUAGAGUAUACAUCUACUCAACAACAUAAUGCCAUUCCCUCUGGGAGCAUAGGUUCAAAUCCUGUAGGCGUCG